CCUACGGGGGGCAGCAGUAAGGAAUCUUCCACAAUGGGGGCAACCCUGAUGGAGCAACGCCGCGUGAAGGAUGAAGGCCCUAGGGUCGUAAACUUCUUUUGUUAGCGAAGAAUAUGACGGUAACUAACGAAUAAGGGUCGGCUAACUACGUGCCAGCAGCCGCGGUCAUACGUAGGACCCAAGCGUUAUCCGGAGUGACUGGGCGUAAAGAGUUGCGUAGGCGGCUCGUUAAGCAGAUAGUGAAAUCACGUGGCUCAACCAUUGUGGCUAUUAUCUGAACUGGCGAGCUCGAGAAUGGUAGAGGUAGCUGGAAUUUCUAGUGUAGGAGUGAAAUCCGUAGAUAUUAGAAGGAACACCAAUGGCGUAGGCAGGCUACUGGACCAUUUCUGACGCUGAGGCACGAAAGCGUGGGGAGCGAACCGGAUUAGAUACCCUGGUAG
RNAcentral lists this ribosomal RNA (440 nucleotides) under uncultured bacterium. RNAcentral describes it as "bacterial SSU rRNA". It matches the Rfam family "Bacterial small subunit ribosomal RNA", at positions 338 to 793 of the family's 1533-position model. The record is from RNAcentral.